This is a non-coding RNA of Pantherophis guttatus, 848 nucleotides long. The record is from RefSeq and is a predicted model, not a curated record. NCBI's taxonomy places the organism in Eukaryota, Metazoa, Chordata, Lepidosauria, Squamata, Colubridae.
UCCUCCCAGAGAGGAGGAGACAGCUUACAGAAACGAUCGCCUUGGAAAGAGCAACUGCAGGCCCUGCAAAGCAGCUCUCUGAGGUGACCGUUGGUGCAAGAGCCGGAGAGGAGAGGAACAGGAAGAAGCGGAGGCUUGUCGUUCGCCUCCCGGUGCCCAGAGGGAGCUCCGCUCCUGCGUUUUUUUUUGGACCAGCAAAGACGGGAUAGAGAAAAUGCUUUUCACCGCCUCGGAUUUUCCUAUUUUCCUGGCGGUGUCCUAGGCGGCAAGCGUGUUUUUCUGAAAUAGUAAUGGCUAACCCCAUGAUGAUCUGAAUCAGUAACAGAGUUGGAAGAGACCUUGGAGGUCAUCUAGUCCAACCCCCUGCUCACGCAGGAGGCCUGUACUAGAUGCUGUAUACUGACGUAGGGCGGCAGAAAUCGAGGCGACUCAGGCUAUCAGUAACUAAGCAUUUUAAUCAUGUAACUCAAACGGGUAACAGUAACAAUCUCGAACGGCUAACUGUAAGAGGAAGAAACAGUUCCUUCACGAUCUGACAGCUCUUACAUCCUCGAGCUGUCAGGAUCUGAACCAAUGAGCGAUCACCUAUUUCCCGCCAUGAUAGCGCCCUCAUCUGUCGGCGGCAAUUACGCAUGCGCCAAUCUGCCAGGACAUAACACUAGGGAUUCGAACCACCGACCUUUCUGAUCGGACAAGCUCAGUGUCUUUAGCCACUGAGCCACCUAGUCAGAUCUGAUGGAAGUUUCCUGCCAUGCAGCUCUAUGUCCGCACCUGGUCAAUGUUUUUUUUUUCCUGAACAACCUUUAGGAAACCUGAGAUAAACGAAAUAAAGUUUGUUUUUGGAUAGA